GAUCAGAGCGAAGUUGUGUUGGCAGCUCUGGCCCAGGAAACAGUCAAGGCUGAGGAGCAACGAGGUAAAGAGAACGAUAGAGCUGUGGUAAAGCAGGAUGUUGCGAGAUGGAGUGGGAUGCUCUGGAGAAGAAAGUCCAAGUGAUGGAACAAAGAGGAUAAGAGGGUUUGAGGAGAGUGAGAUUGGGAAACAUAGGAAGGUGGCCUAUACUGAGUACUGGUCUACCUAACUCAGUAUUGUCUACAUUAACCGGGAGUGGAUUGCAGGCAGGGUUCUCUCCCACCCUUACGUGGAGAUGCCAGGAUUUGAGCCUGGGACCUUCUGCAUGCAAGGCAGAUACUCUAUCACUGAGCUACAGCUCCUUACCUAACAAGCUGCUGUGCAAGGUGGAGUGAAUGAUGGACUGAAUCUCUACUAUACUUUCUUGGUCACCAAAUACCACCACCUAGAAUGGAGUUUGCGGAGAUCUGCACAACCUGUAGCCCACCAAGGCACUUGGGUGGCCAAAAUUCAGGGCUGAAGUCAACUUACUCAGUAAUUAAAGGUUCUGUCCCUCAAUUUUCAGGGCCAAAGCCCCUACCCAAGGCAGAUCCCAAGUUCUUCAGUAGUACCGGGGCAUUUUUGCUUCUUCAGAAAUGGCUGCACAAGAAUCAGGAUGCCAUGAGUCCAUUAAGCAGCCAGUGUAGUUGCCAUGCGUAAAAAGCCUGUCUGUUUGGUGUGGGUGGAGGAACACAUUAAGCCUCUUAAGCAAAGACAAUACAAGACCUGGAAUACCAGGCAUUCUUCAGAAGAAGAGAGAGACCACCUGCCAGAUCAAGGCACCUGAGAUCUGAGGUCAGCAGUAAAUUUAGGAGGUGGGGAUUACCGCAAAGACAGGCUUGUGAGCUCCGUUCCCACGCUGUGCUGGAGCUGUGGAUGCUGUGAGCUGUGUUCUGGUAUGCGCAAAAGGACUGCUACCAUUAUAAAGGUGUCCAAGUAGCUCGCACACUCUUUCCCUUUGAAACAGAGAAAAUCACAGCCUUAAACCAUGGGAAACCAAUUCUCCCUGUGGCCUUUACUGAAAGAGUCUUUACUCAUUUUGGAAGGUUUCUUCUUCCUUUUCCUCUCCUCCAGGGACAGUCUAUAUGUUCUUGUCACGUUGCAGAGAACUGAUCACAAGUGCUCUCUGUGGGAGGUAGAAAAUGUGGAAGACUUGGUCUGUUGGGCGAAAAUAGCAAAAACCCAGAGUGGGGUUUCUCUGAACAGGGUGGGGUGUAUACAGGGGUGCCAACUUGAAUAAAAUAUUGGGUGGGGCCAGGAAAGGCCUACGCUGCACGAUCAAUCACAAGGCACACACCAUUUGAAUGGCAAUGCCCAUCAACUUUGGGGGGGGGGGCAGAGCCCUCAAAUAUUUACUCGGGAAAGUUUAAUGGGAAGGGAGGGGAACAGGAAACUAGUUUUCUUUGAACCACUCAAGAAAUCUGGGCUGUAUAUCUUCGGCACGAUUUUUUCUUACCUCUGGAAUGAAAACCUAUCCGUUCUUACUUGUGACCACGCAUGGUUACAAACGUUUCUCAUAUGAUACUUUUAUCACUGGAAUGACGCGUGGGAAUCAGCCUUGACACCGAAAUGAGUUGUGGGUUUUAAUCUUCGGAGAAAAUUUGCCGCGUAAAUAAUACAGUGUUAUGACUUCGUACUGAAAAGGCGAUACAUCUCCUUGUAGCUGGCUUGUAGCUGAUUUGAAAAUAAUGUUAUGACUUCUUGCUUCUAGAUUCCCUUUAAAAAAAAAAAGGCUGUUCAUGCUCACUGAUCAAUAUGGAAUGAAAUUCAAUUUAUCAACUAAGGAUUCUCAAGUGCCUCUCCGAAUUUAAAUGGGAAAGUUAUUAUGGUGCAUCUUUUUAAAGAGCCUCAUGUUGCGUUAGGCAUUAUAGUUGCUGAGUGGAUGGAUGUUCGCUCUUUUAACUACACUACCUGCAAAAUGAAAAUUAUGCCAUAUAUCUUUUCUUUUUUAAAAAAGAGCCUUGCAAUGUUAAGUGGGUCCUCUUAGGUGCAUUACUGCAAUUCAAAAAUAGGCUUUGCUUGGGUUUGACUGGCAAUGCAUAUCUUAAGUGCUCCAGGGAUUGGAGAACAAAGAUAUUGAUAUUGUGUGAAUUCUCUUCCUUAAAAACAGAUGAAUACAUUCUGGCUGUGCGACAUCAAAAGAUGCAGACAGUGCCAGACUAUCCGCUAAUGUCAGAAUGAUGUUUUUGAUAAAAGCUUUAGAUGACAGGCGUGGAUGGCCAAAUUAAUGGUGUCUGGAGUAACACCUGUCACAGCACCACAGUUUUAUCAGGUUUUUUUAAAGGUACAACGUGAAUCUUUUUUCAUAUUUUGAGAUUCACGACAGGCUCGUUGUAAGCAUCCUGGGUUUAGAAUCUCAUGUUGAAUGCAGAUAAUUGUGUUUCUUUCAGCUUAUAGACAGAGAGAACAUUUCUCUCCUUUGAGGGUAGCAGAACAGCUGGUUCCCACAUCCAUGACUUCAGAGCGAUGACUUGUACGUGUGAAUGAGCCACUGCAGAUCUAGCACCACAGAUGGAACUCUUACCACAAAUUCAAUACAGCAUUACACAAGGGCCCUGCUGUCUCAUGGUAGCCAGUGAGAUGCCUGCAGGAGGCUUGCAAACAAGGCUUGAGAGCAACAGCAUUCUCUUCACUUAUACCCCAUUAUCAGGAAUUCAGAAUCAAAUCCUAGCCAUCAUGGCACGUACCUGUUGAUAAGGGGUACUCAAGAAUAACCGUGUCCAAUUCCAUUGUUGUUGUUGUUCACCAGAGUUUUGCCCCUGUUAGCAGAGUGGCUUUUGGUGACAGCACCAGGCAUCUGCAGCCUCCACCCAACACCCAUUCCACGGAAUGAUACAGCCUUGAGCAUUAUGGGUAAAUAAACAUGGCGGCUGUUAACAACAGCUCUGCUGCUGCAGCAGCAGCAGCAAGGGAAGCAUAAGCCUAUUCAUACUGUCUAAUUCAGGGCUGGGGAGCUUGAUGCCCUAUAGAGGUGCUGUUGAACUCCAACUUCCAUCAGCCCCAGGGAUGAUGGGAAUUGUGGUCUCGUGACAUUUGGAGGGCCAUAGGUCCCUCACCUCUCUCCUGAUGGGUGAUGAAUGAUGGGCAUGAAUGGCAAAGCACCAAGUAUACCCAUUUGCACUCAUUUGUUACUAACCCGUUUCAGAAAUCAGACUAAAUGGGGACUCAUUCAAUUCCCUUUUACAUUGGUUCUGAAACAGCUCUCUAUGACAACAGAUGAUAAAGGUAAAGGUAAAGGACUCCUGACAGUUAAGUCCAGUCGCGAACGACUCUGGGGUUGCAGCGCUCAUCUCGCUUUACUGGCCAAGGAGCCGGCGUGGCUAGCAUGACUAAGCUGCCUCUGGAAAACCAGAGCCGUUUAUCUUCCCGCCGGAGUGGUACCUAUUUAUCUACUUGCACUUUGGGGCGUGCUUUUGAACUGCUAGGUUGGCAGGAGCUGGGACCGAACAAUGGGAGCUCACCCCGUCGCAGGGAUUUGAACCACGACCUUCUGAUCAGCAAGCCCUAGACUCAGUGGUUUAGAUCACAGCGCCACCCGAGUCCAAUAAAAAUAAAGGGGGCCCAGAGUGCGGUAGCAGGUUUGCUUCUUGCCACUCCUAUUUGAAGAACAGUUAAUAUUGCUUUAAGCACGAGCUGGACCUGAUCAGAAGAGUAUGUGGGGAAUCUGACCUGCGGAGUCAAAAGCCGAAAGGUCAUGUAUGCAGUUGAAGUGUCUUUGUAGUGGGGAUGCCCUCUGCGCCGUCACAACUGUUUACACAGUUGUUGCCGCUUAAUUAAAAGUCCUUAAAAACGAUGCUGCUUAAGGAAUCGUUGUUUUUAUUAUUGUUCAGUUAGGUGCUUCUUUUCUCGUGGGAAGAGGUCUUGUUGUAUUGAAACGCGACUAAUUGGAUAACGAUCUGUAUGAAGUGCUUAUGGCUGCAGGGAUGCAGUCUCCAGGGAACUCAAUGGGACUGCAUUGGAACGAAAAAUAAUGUAAAAUACGUGAAUUCAAAUAUCGUAAUGUACAAGGAAUCAAAGUGAUGGUCAAACUUCCAGAAAUAAUAGAAGGUUGUUCUGCAUGGAAUUAUUCUGACUGCAGGGCUGUAGUUUUAUAACUAUAUACAUGAGGAUGCACACAGUGGAUUCAGGUAGCAAGUGUUUUAAUAUGAAAAACAUCUUUAAAGUGAUUUUAUGUUAGCCACAAACAUAGAACCAAACCUAGCAGCCGUAUAAGAACAUAAGAAGAGCACGCAGGAUCAGGCCGGUGUCUCAUCUAGUCCAGCAUCCUGCUGUUACAGUGGCUACCCUGGUGUCUGCAGGAAACCUGCAAGCAGGAUCCGAGCACAAGAGCACUCUCCUUUCCUAUGGUUUCCAUGCAACUGAUAUCCAGCAGUAUUGCUGCCUCACAACUGUGGGGCAGAGCAUAGCCACCGUGGCUGGUAGCCACCAAUAGCCGUCUCCUCCAUGAAUUUGUCCAAUCCUCUUUUAAGGCUAUCCAAGUUGGUGUCAAUCACUGCCUCCUGUGGGAGUGAGUUCCAUAGCCUACUGCAUGAAUAAGUACUUUGAAGAAGUCAUUGGUGCAGACUGUUGUCUGUCUCUCUCUCUCUUUCUCUCUGUGUGUGUAUGUUAGUGUGUGUGUUCAAAAUAAACUUACAUUCUUAUUUUGUACAGUCAUACCUUGUGUUGCGUUUGCUUCAGGUUGAGCGUUUUCAGGUUGCAUCCCGUGGCGACCCGGAAGUACUGGAAAGGGUUACUUCUGGGUUUCGCUGCUCGCGCAUGCGUAGCUGCUCAAAAUGACGUCAUGCGCAGAAGUGGUGAGACGCGCAUAGGCGGGUUGCGUUCUGCUUAUGUUGCGAACGGGGCUCACAACAUGAGCGAGGUAGUAUGUGUCAGUCCUAUGUCCAGAUUUCCAGCCAAAAGUUCUGGAUGAGAGCAUAUUGUGCUGGCGGCUCGCUAUCAUUCUCAGUUUUUGUUAACAUUGGUAAUAAAAUCAUACCAGCCUGAGAUGAAUCUGUCAACUUUUGAUUGACUUUUGGCCUAUUUUAAAAGGAACUUAAAAUAAAAAUAAAAACCCUUGUCUGUUUGCAGUGGCAAUGAGGGUGCUGUUUAGGACGGUAUUCACAAGAUGAUGAUUAAUUCAAUUUGUAUACUUCCCUCCAUACAAAGAUCCCAGGAUGGUUCACAACAGAAAAAUACUAAACGAGAACACAAAAAUAGAUAAUAAAACAAAAACAAUCCAAUAACCCCCUCUCCCACAAACACGCCUAAAAUGCACCCCUCAGGUGGUUGUGGUGGUAAGCAGCAUAACAGAUUUUUACUGGUGAUGUCACGGACUGGCUAGAUGCAGAGGAGAGGUGGGAGGUAAAGGACCCCUGGAUGGUUAAGUCCUAUGAAAGGCGACUAUGGGGUUGCAGCGCUCAUCUCGCUUUCAGGCCGAGGGAGCCGGCGUUUGUCCACAGACAGCUUUUCAGCUCAUGUGGCCAGGAUGACUAAACUGCUUCUGGUGCAACGGAACACCGUGAUGGAAACCAGAGCGCACGGAAAUGCCGUUUACCUUCCCGCCACAGCAAUACCUAUUUAUCUACUUGUACUGGUAUGCUUUCAAACUGCUAGGUUGGCAGGAGCUGGGACAGAGCAAGGGGACCUGGCCCUGUCGCGGGGAUUUGAACUGCUGACCUUCUGAUCGGCAGGCCCCAGAAGCUCAGUGGUUUAGACCACAGCAGCUAGGGAAUCCCUGGGGAUUAGGGGGGUCAUUAUGAUGAAUGGGCAGAGGAAGAAGACUGGGAGGUGGCACAGUUGGGAUUUUAAACACAAUUGCACUCAAUAGGAAUUACCUCCAAAUAACAGGCAGAGAAUUAUUAUUUAUUAUUAUUAUUAAACUUUUAUACUGCUUAGUUGCCCAGGUGGCUUCUAAGCAGUUUGUACAAGUAUAAAACCAAUUGUGAAAACUCACGUAAUUAAAACACACCAUAAAACCAUCUCAUCAAAACAUUAGCAUAAACAUGCACAAUUGGAAAGUGCAGUAAAGCAAGCCCAUUGAAACAGCACAACAAUUACAACGCUUAAAACAGCAAUUAAAGCAGGAGGUUCAAAGUCUGGAGGUUAGGGGAAUGCUUUCUAAAUAGGUGUGGCAGAAUGCUUUCUAAAGAGCUGGCAGAAGGCCAGGACAUAUGGGGCCUCUCAUAUUGUAGCAGGAGAGCAUUCCGCAACAUGUGAAAAUACUCACCUCUCUGCUAGUGCAAACAGAUCAUCAUCAGGCCGUCGUAAAAAAUAAUCAUAAUUGGGUUCCAUUUGUCAAAUCUCCAUGCACUUACUGGUAAAGGGCGGGGAAACCAUCUUUCAGGUAACUUGGUUCAGAGCUGUUUAGGUCUUGACACUUGAGUACCGCAAAACUGGUUCAGUGGUUUAUAGGAUCAGGCAGUUGGUUGAAGAACUGGCAGAGUUAAAAUGUAAUUAAUGCAGCUGAUAGUUGUUUUAUUUUUUCUAAAGCUACAAAGGACGGACCUUCAUUCUAACAUAUAGUAAGGUAAAGGUAAAGGGACCCCUGACCAUUAAGUCCAGUUGUGACCGACUCCGGGGUUGCGUGCUCAUCUUGCUCUAUAGGCUGAGGGAGCCAGUGUUGACUAAGUCGCUUCUGGUGAACCAGAGCAGCACAUGGAAACGCCGUUUACCUUCCCGGCGGAGUGGUACCUAUUUAUCUACUUGCAGUUUGAUGUGCUUUCAAACUGCUAGGUUGGCAGGAGCAGGGACCGAGCAACGGGAGCUCACCCCAUCACGGGGAUUCGAACUGCUGACCUUCCGAUCGGCAAGUCCUAGCUCUGUGGUUUAACCCACAGCGCCACCCGCGUCCCUAUAACAUUAUAGUAGCAAUUUCCAAUUUAACAGGUAAAAGCUAUAGCACAAUUCCCUCAGUGUCUUUUUAAGAACUCUAGAUCAGGGGUCAGUAAGGUUUACUCCAGCGGAGAUCCCUCUGUGGGCCGGAUCGUGUGUGUGUGUGAGAGAGAGUGCGCGCCCCCACGAUUUCUGGCACCUGCGCUGACGUGAUUUCCGGUGCAUCGAAAGUGAUUCCCUGCGCCGCGCUGGUUUAGUGCCGCAUGAGGAGACUCGCCGAGUGGCUGGCUUGGUUCAGAAGCGGCUUGUGGGCCGGUUAAAUUACCCCUGUGGGCCACUUGUGGCCUAUGGGCCUUAGGUUGCCGACCGCUGCUCUAGAUCAAGGAUGGGAAAUCUGUGGCUCUCCAAAUGUUGUUGAACUGCAACUCACCUCUGUGACCUUGCUCUCUGGGACAGAUGGGAAUCGGAGUCCGACAACAUCUGGCGGACCACUGGUUCUCCAUCUAUGCGGAAAGUGAAAGCUUGAAUGUGCUCAAAUUUAUUUAAAUAUAUGUAAUUUAGUCAGAUGGAUUAGAUUACUUGGGCAAUCAGUUAAAAGACCAGCCACUAGUAGGAUAAUAGGCCUUUAAUUUGUCGAUAGCACUCCUGAUUUAUCUUAUUGCCUCCCCCCCCCCCCAUCUCUCUGCCCACAAAGAAGAAGAAAACCCAGCAGGAUAGCUCAGCUGGUAGAGCACAAUACUCAGGGUCAUCGGUUUGGGAAAACGGUUCUUGCCUUGUGAGGGGGGCUGGACUAGAGGAUCCUUGUGGUCCCUUCCAGCUCUACAAUACUAUGAUUCUAGGAAGAUGAAUUUCAUAUAAGCUUUCCUGUUGUGCUAAAAAAAAACAUGAGAAACUUGACAUCUUUCCUCAGGGCCUGCAAGACAGAGCUGUUCCACCAGGCCUUUGGCCAAGGCACAGUCUGACCCCUUCCUUUGGAAAUCCCCAUAGAACUCUAGCCCAAUGGUUGCCAUUAAUUUGAAUCUUGAUUGAUUUUAGAAUGAAUUGAUUUUAGAAUGUAUUUCAAUUAAUUGACUGUGAUUUUAUGUAAACUGUGUUAUUUUUACUGUUGUUAGCUGCUCUGAGCCCGGCUUCAGCUGGGGAGGGUGGGAUAUAAAUAAAACUUUAUUAUUAUUAUUAUUAAUAUGAUUUGAUUAUAUCUAUCUUUACACUCACACGCUGUAUGGUUAUCUACUAUACAGAAAUAGUUACACUUAAAAAAAAAAGCUAAUAAAAAGAUUUUUUUUUAAAAACAGCAACACUUGGUGAUCCAUGUAAAAGUAGGAUGAAGGAUCUGUGGCCCUCCAGUCGUUUCCAAACUCCAGUUCCCACCAGUGCCAACCAGCACAUCCAGUGACCAGUGAUGAUGGGCAGCUGGAGUCUAAGCAAAAGACCAUCCUUGUUCCAUAUUUUAGAUACACGUUAGCACCAAACUAUCUCUAAGGAGGCAUGAGCUGUCACCCAGCAAUCAAAUCAAGAGUCAGGCAGGCAGUUUGGACUGGUGCCUGUUGACGUUCUCAUACGUGGGAAAUUUCCUCCUGUGCUCCUCAUUGUUUCUGGGGGAAUACACAGCCGGUGUUUAUUCUUAAUUAGACCUAAUGUAUGUGAGAAGUACCUAGAUAAAUGGCAGAUUGAGGCUUAUCCUGCAUGCAUAAUGGGGCAGCUAAUAAGGCGGGAAAGAGGCAUUGUCUUGCUGAAGGCUCCCUGGUUUCUUUCCUCUCCCAUUCAUUACUGCGGGGGGGGGGGGUCCCCCAGUCCCUUUGCACUUCCAUGGCAAUGCAACUGGGCCUUCAUGCAGGUGAUAAUCCGAGAUGGAAAAUCCAUUCCAUGGAUCAUCAGCCCCGGACAUCAUGCUGGCAGCAUUUAAUAGCAGUCAGCUUUUGAUGGCAAAAGUUAUCUGGCUGUUGUCUAAAGGGGCGGGGCGGGGUGGGGGUGGGGAGUCCCUUUGGUAAGCCAAGUCAAUGUUAACCCGAGCUGUUUUGGUUGAGCUCUGUUUGUGUUGAUUUUGAAAUCUCCUGUGGAAAGGUCCCCACUCUUCCCUGAAAUACGAAUGAAUGCAUCUGUCCAUUUCAGUUCAUGGGCGUUUCUCAUUUAUUACAUUCAUUUCUCCAAAUUCCUGCAUCAAUUUGUGGGUUUUUCCAAGUACUCAUGAAAAUUUUAGUGCAAAUUUCCCCUAGUAUAUACGCAUUUUUGUGUGCUACUUUGUCUAAUAUGCAUAUUAUUAAGGUUUUAAACACUGUAUGUGCACACGCACACACACACACACAAAACACACUGCAUGCACAGAUAUGUGUGUGUGUGAGUGAAAUAAUAAAUGUUUUUGCAUUUGCAUUAAGAAAAAUAAAAUCUAUUUUAUAUGUUACUUUCUAAAAAACACACACACAAAAAACAACUUUGUACGGUUCUCUCCUCUUCACUUCAAAUGUAAUGUAAAACGUUCUUAUCCCUUGUGCCAAGGAAACUACAGCAAAAGAAAGGAAAAUCGCUCAUAUGUGGUCACAGCCACCAUGGAGCUUCUUUGAGAAAACACGUGUCUCACACUUCCUGUUUUAAGACUGCAUAACUAGAACUGAAUUUUCGUAUAUAAUAAAAAAUAUAACACAACACACCCACCGGUCCCAUAACAUUAAUAUGAAUUAUGCUUAUCACGCCAUAGAGCUCCGAUGCGAACUAAGGCAGGACACCAUCUCUUUCCAGUGAAGCACAUCCCUGUAUCUUUUUGUAGCUUGGUUCUUUUGAUGGAAGCAACUUUGGGAAUGGGUAGGGUAGGUGUCUCCGGGCCUCAAUCAACCAAUUGUACUGGGUGUUACAGAUAAUGGGUCAUUGCCUUCCUUGGGUGUCCCUGGGUGGCUCAGCAACCACUCUUGAAAGCCAGCCGUGAUGCUUUGAUUUUGCCGAGCUGUAAAAUGCAGCUGCUUAGGCCUGAUGGUUGACUGCAGGCAUUUAAUUCUUUGCUGUGGGUGGGAGUGAAGAGAAGGCCAUCUGUUCCUGUUGAGGCGUGUGGCCGGAUGCUUCUGGGAAGGGAAAUCUCAGCAGUAACAUCUAAGUUGUUAGUGGGUGAUGAGAUCCAAGGCUCAGCUUGUCCACCAAUCCUUCUUAUCUUGACCAGACAGAU
Podarcis lilfordi (Lilford's wall lizard) is the source of this 10000-nucleotide non-coding RNA. The record is from the annotation of a GenBank genome assembly. NCBI's taxonomy places the organism in Eukaryota, Metazoa, Chordata, Lepidosauria, Squamata, Lacertidae.